Molecule: ribosomal RNA, 301 nt
Filed under: uncultured bacterium
Lineage: Bacteria
Description: partial 16S ribosomal RNA
Rfam family: Bacterial small subunit ribosomal RNA
Source: RNAcentral
CAGCAGCCGCGGUAAUACGAAGGGUGCAAGCGUUACUCGGAAUUACUGGGCGUAAAGCGUGCGUAGGUGGUGGUUUAAGUCCGUUGUGAAAGCCCUGGGCUCAACCUGGGAAUUGCAGUGGAUACUGGGUCACUAGAGUGUGGUAGAGGAUAGUGGAAUUUCCGGUGUAGCAGUGAAAUGCGUAGAGAUCGGAAGGAACAUCUGUGGCGAAGGCGACUAUCUGGGCCAACACUGACACUGAGGCACGAAAGCGUGGGGAGCAAACAGGAUUAGAUACCCCCGUAGUCCCUGUCUCUUAUAC